This 507-nucleotide ribosomal RNA is filed under the name uncultured bacterium. RNAcentral's name for it is "partial 16S ribosomal RNA". It matches the Rfam family "Bacterial small subunit ribosomal RNA", at positions 28 to 507 of the family's 1533-position model. The record is from RNAcentral.
GACGAACGCUGGCGGCGUGCCUAAUACAUGCAAGUCGAACGCAUUUUCUUUCACCGUAGCUUGCUACACCGAAAGAAAAUGAGUGGCGAACGGGUGAGUAACACGUGGGUAACCUGCCCAUCAGCGGGGGAUAACACUUGGAAACAGGUGCUAAUACCGCAUAAUUCCAUUUACCGCAUGGUAAAUGGAUGAAAGGCGCUUUUGCGUCACUGAUGGAUGGACCCGCGGUGCAUUAGCUAGUUGGUGGGGUAACGGCCUACCAAGGCUGCGAUGCAUAGCCGACCUGAGAGGGUGAGCGGCCACACUGGGACUGAGACACGGCCCAGACUCCUACGGGAGGCAGCAGUAGGGAAUCUUCGGCAAUGGACGCAAGUCUGACCGAGCAACGCCGCGUGAGUGAAGAAGGUUUUCGGAUUGUAAAACUCUGUUGUUAGAGAAGAACAAGGAUGAGAGUGGAAAGUUCAUCCCUUGACGGUAUCUAACCAGAAAGCCACGGCUAACUACGUG